AGAGUUUGAUCAUGGCUCAGAGCGAACGCUGGCGGCAGGCUUAACACAUGCAAGUCGAGCGGUCGUAGCAAUACGGCAGCGGCAGACGGGAGAGUAACACGUGGGAGCGUACCCUUCAGUUCGGAACAACCAAGGGAAACUUUGGCUAAUACCGGAUACGUCCGUAAGGAGAAAGAUUUAUCGCUGAGGGAUCGGCCCGCGUCUGAUUAGCUAGUUGGUGAGGUAACGGCUCACCAAGGCGACGAUCAGUAGCUGGUCUGAGAGGAUGAUCAGCCUCACUGGGACUGAGACACGGCCCAGACUCCUACGGGAGGCAGCAGUGGGGAAUAUUGGACAAUGGGCGCAAGCCUGAUCCAGCCAUGCCGCGUGGAUGAUGAAGGCCCUAGGGUUGUAAAGUCCUUUCGGCGGGGAAGAUAAUGACGGUACCCGCAGAAGAAGCCCCGGCUAACUUCGUGCCAGCAGCCGCGGUAAUACGAAGGGGGCUAGCGUUGCUCGGAAUCACUGGGCGUAAAGCGCACGUAGGCGGCUUUUUAAGUCAGGGGUGAAAUCCUGGAGCUCAACUCCAGAACUGCCUUUGAUACUGAAGAGCUUGAGUCCGGGAGAGGUGAGUGGAACUGCGAGUGUAGAGGUGAAAUUCGUAGAUAUUCGCAAGAACACCAGUGGCGAAGGCGGCUCACUGGCCCGGUACUGACGCUGAGGUGCGAAAGCGUGGGGAGCAAACAGGAUUAGAUACCCUAGUAGUCC
RNAcentral lists this ribosomal RNA (744 nucleotides) under uncultured bacterium. RNAcentral's name for it is "bacterial SSU rRNA". It matches the Rfam family "Bacterial small subunit ribosomal RNA", at positions 8 to 796 of the family's 1533-position model. The record is from RNAcentral.